GUGCCUGAAAUUCGAAAUGUCAAAAAGAAAAACCAUCAGUCUUCUCUUGGGAGCGUUUAACAACAAAGAGAGUGAUUGGGUAACGAGGUUAUUUUCAACAGGAAAGAGAAAAUAGACAUGGAACUUUUACUGCCUAUCCUUUCAUUUUCUAUUUAAUCGCUGUUUUUUUUUAUUGCUUUUCAUGGUAGUCAACUCACAGUCUCUUCCAACGUAAAUAACUGCGCAGAGGUGAAAUGGGAGGUGCAAUCCGUUGCCGCCAACUAAAUAGGACUUCCCGUUCAUUCAUUCGCCAACGCUGCAGGGGCGUUCGAUACACGAAACAAAUGAAAUGGCGCAGUUUUUAGAAUGGGGAAAGCCGAAAAGAGACCAUAAAAAACAAAACAAAAAAGGAACAGUCAGGAAGGGGGAACCGUGCAAAAAGCCAUCCGGUAAAUUUGAGUUCUUUUGCUUUUGGCGACUUGCUAAAAAAGAAGAUGCGUACUAAAAAUCUGCAAAAUGCCGGCAGGCGUGAUAAAGAAAACCUUGAAUGGUUUGCCAGGUCUCAACCAACCUCUGGUUGGCAGCUGCUGCCAGUACAUUCUACAGGCAUAAAAUCUAAUCGAAAAAUCACGUCCAAUUGACGUGCGCAACCAAACGGUAUUUAAAUGGAGCCCUUGAGGGAUUCGAAGAAAACACGCAGGUGAAGGUGCACAUUACGGCCACGAUAGCUGAAUCAUGAAGACAAUCCCUAAUCAAAUUCUUUCCUCAAGAAUAAGUUGUGUGUACAAUUUAAAUUAAGGAAUGCAACGUGAAAUUUUGAUUAAAUCA
Daphnia magna is the source of this 807-nucleotide long non-coding RNA. RefSeq lists it as uncharacterized. The transcript has 2 exons. The record is from RefSeq and is a predicted model, not a curated record. NCBI's taxonomy places the organism in Eukaryota, Metazoa, Arthropoda, Branchiopoda, Diplostraca, Daphniidae.